Molecule: ribosomal RNA, 253 nt
Filed under: uncultured bacterium
Lineage: Bacteria
Description: partial 16S ribosomal RNA
Rfam family: Bacterial small subunit ribosomal RNA
Source: RNAcentral
UACGAAGGGGGCAAGCGUUGUUCGGAUUUACUGGGCGUAAAGCGUACGUAGGCGGAUCAUUAAGUCAGGGGUGAAAUCCCGGGGCUCAACCUCGGAACUGCCUUUGAUACUGGUGAUCUUGAGUCCGGGAGAGGUGAGUGGAACUCCUAGUGUAGAGGUGAAAUUCGUAGAUAUUAGGAAGAACACCAGUGGCGAAGGCGGCUCACUGGCCCGGAACUGACGCUGAGGUACGAAAGCGUGGGGAGCAAACAGG